Molecule: ribosomal RNA, 372 nt
Filed under: uncultured bacterium
Lineage: Bacteria
Description: bacterial SSU rRNA
Rfam family: Bacterial small subunit ribosomal RNA
Source: RNAcentral
UACGUAGGUGGCGAGCGUUGUCCGGAAUUAUUGGGCGUAAAGGGUGCGUAGGCGGUAGUUUAAGUGGGGCGUGAAAUCCCCGGGCUUAACCCGGGAGCUGCGCUCCAAACUGGACUACUUGAGUGCAGGAGAGGAAAGCGGAAUUCCCAGUGUAGCGGUGAAAUGCGUAGAGAUUGGGAGGAACACCAGUGGCGAAGGCGGCUUUCUGGACUGUAACUGACGCUGAGGCACGAAAGCGUGGGGAGCAAACAGGAUUAGAUGCCCUGGUAGUCCACGCCGUAAACGAUGGGUACUAGGUGUAGGGCCGUCAGGCUCUGUGCCGCAGUUAACACAUUAAGUACCCCGCCUGGGAAGUACGGUCGCAAGACUAAA